Molecule: ribosomal RNA, 253 nt
Filed under: uncultured bacterium
Lineage: Bacteria
Description: partial 16S ribosomal RNA
Rfam family: Bacterial small subunit ribosomal RNA
Source: RNAcentral
GACGUAGGGCGCGAGCGUUGUCCGGAUUUAUUGGGCGUAAAGAGCUCGUAGGCGGCUUGUUGCGUCGACCGUGAAAACCCGGGGCUCAACUUCGGGCUUGCGGUCGAUACGGGCGGGCUAGAGUUCGGUAGGGGAGACUGGAAUUCCUGGUGUAGCGGUGAAAUGCGCAGAUAUCAGGAGGAACACCGGUGGCGAAGGCGGGUCUCUGGGCCGAUACUGACGCUGAGGAGCGAAAGCGUGGGGAGCGAAAAGG